GAUGAACGCUGGCGGCGUGCCUAAUACAUGCAAGUCGAGCGAACGGACGAGAAGCUUGCUUCUCUGAUGUUAGCGGCGGACGGGUGAGUAACACGUGGAUAACCUACCUAUAAGACUGGGAUAACUUCGGGAAACCGGAGCUAAUACCGGAUAAUAUUUUGAACCGCAUGGUUCAAAAGUGAAAGACGGUCUUGCUGUCACUUAUAGAUGGAUCCGCGCUGCAUUAGCUAGUUGGUAAGGUAACGGCUUACCAAGGCAACGAUGCAUAGCCGACCUGAGAGGGUGAUCGGCCACACUGGAACUGAGACACGGUCCAGACUCCUACGGGAGGCAGCAGUAGGGAAUCUUCCGCAAUGGGCGAAAGCCUGACGGAGCAACGCCGCGUGAGUGAUGAAGGUCUUCGGAUCGUAAAACUCUGUUAUUAGGGAAGAACAUAUGUGUAAGUAACUGUGCACAUCUUGACGGUACCUAAUCAGAAAGCCACGGCUAACUACGUGCCAGCAGCCGCGGUAAUACGUAGGUGGCAAGCGUUAUCCGGAAUUAUUGGGCGUAAAGCGCGCGUAGGCGGUUUUUUAAGUCUGAUGUGAAAGCCCACGGCUCAACCGUGGAGGGUCAUUGGAAACUGGAAAACUUGAGUGCAGAAGAGGAAAGUGGAAUUCCAUGUGUAGCGGUGAAAUGCGCAGAGAUAUGGAGGAACACCAGUGGCGAAGGCGACUUUCUGGUCUGUAACUGACGCUGAUGUGCGAAAGCGUGGGGAUCAAACAGGAUUAGAUACCCUGGUAGUCCACGCCGUAAACGAUGAGUGCUAAGUGUUAGGGGGUUUCCGCCCCUUAGUGCUGCAGCUAACGCAUUAAGCAUUCCGCCUGGGGAGUACGACCGCAAGGUUGAAACUCAAAGGAAUUGACGGGGACCCGCACAAGCGGUGGAGCAUGUGGUUUAAUUCGAAGCAACGCGAAGAACCUUACCAAAUCUUGACAUCCUCUGACCCCUCUAGAGAUAGAGUUUUCCCCUUCGGGGGACAGAGUGACAGGUGGUGCAUGGUUGUCGUCAGCUCGUGUCGUGAGAUGUUGGGUUAAGUCCCGCAACGAGCGCAACCCUUAAGCUUAGUUGCCAUCAUUAAGUUGGGCACUCUAAGUUGACUGCCGGUGACAAACCGGAGGAAGGUGGGGAUGGCGUCAAAUCAUCAUGCCCCUUAUGAUUUGGGCUACACACGUGCUACAAUGGACAAUACAAAGGGUAGCGAAACCGCGAGGUCAAGCAAAUCCCAUAAAGUUGUUCUCAGUUCGGAUUGUAGUCUGCAACUCGACUACAUGAAGCUGGAAUCGCUAGUAAUCGUAGAUCAGCAUGCUACGGUGAAUACGUUCCCGGGUCU
This 1372-nucleotide ribosomal RNA is filed under the name uncultured bacterium. Its description in RNAcentral is "bacterial SSU rRNA". It matches the Rfam family "Bacterial small subunit ribosomal RNA", at positions 28 to 1381 of the family's 1533-position model. The record is from RNAcentral.